GACGAACGCUGGCGGCGUGCCUAACACAUGCAAGUCGAACGAACCGUGCCUAGUUGCUUGCGGUCGGGGAAGGAACACGGGGUAAGGGGCAGUUGGGUGCGGAAAACCUCACUGAAAGUUGGGUUUAAAAGUCUGGUGCUCUUCCUGGGAAAGAAUUAUAGAUAUUAGAGCGGGCCGCGUCUGAUUAGGUUGUUGGUGAGGUAAGCGCUCACCAAGGCGACGAUUGGUAGCUGGUGUGAGAGGAUGACCAGCCACACUGGGACUGAGACACGGCCCAGACUCCUACGGGAGGCAGCAGUGGGGAAUCUUGCGCAAUGGGCGAAAGGAUGACGCAGCCAUGCCGCGUGAAUGAUGAAGGUCUUAGGAUUGUAAAAUUCUUUCACCGGGGACGAUAAUGACGGUACCCGGAGAAGAAGCCCCGGCUAACUUCGUG
This 433-nucleotide ribosomal RNA is filed under the name uncultured bacterium. RNAcentral's name for it is "partial 16S ribosomal RNA". It matches the Rfam family "Bacterial small subunit ribosomal RNA", at positions 28 to 507 of the family's 1533-position model. The record is from RNAcentral.